GACGAACGCUGGCGGCGUGCCUAAUACAUGCAAGUAGAACGCUGAAGGAGGAGCUUGCUUCUCUGGAUGAGUUGCGAACGGGUGAGUAACGCGUAGGUAACCUGCCUGGUAGCGGGGGAUAACUAUUGGAAACGAUAGCUAAUACCGCAUAAGAGUAGAUGUUGCAUGACAUUUGCUUAAAAGGUGCAAUUGCAUCACUACCAGAUGGACCUGCGUUGUAUUAGCUAGUUGGGGGGGUAACGGCUCACCAAGGCGACGAUACAUAGCCGACCUGAGAGGGUGAUCGGCCACACUGGGACUGAGACACGGCCCAGACUCCUACGGGAGGCAGCAGUAGGGAAUCUUCGGCAAUGGACGGAAGGCUGACCGAGCAACGCCGCGUGAGUGAAGAAGGGUUUCGGAUCGUAAAGCUCUGUUGUAAGAGAAGAACGAGUGUGAGAGUGGAAAGUUCACACUGUGACGGUAUCUUACCAGAAAGGGACGGCUAACUACGUG
Molecule: ribosomal RNA, 495 nt
Filed under: uncultured bacterium
Lineage: Bacteria
Description: partial 16S ribosomal RNA
Rfam family: Bacterial small subunit ribosomal RNA
Source: RNAcentral